This 464-nucleotide ribosomal RNA is filed under the name Vreelandella stevensii. RNAcentral describes it as "partial 16S ribosomal RNA". It matches the Rfam family "Bacterial small subunit ribosomal RNA", at positions 338 to 793 of the family's 1533-position model. Lineage: Bacteria; Pseudomonadati; Pseudomonadota; Gammaproteobacteria; Oceanospirillales; Halomonadaceae. The record is from RNAcentral.
CCUACGGGGGUGCAGCAGUGGGGAAUAUUGGACAAUGGGCGAAAGCCUGAUCCAGCCAUGCCGCGUGUGUGAAGAAGGCCUUCGGGUUGUAAAGCACUUUCAGUGGGGAAGAAAGCCUUGGGGCUAAUACCCUCGAGGAAGGACAUCACCCACAGAAGAAGCACCGGCUAACUCCGUGCCAGCAGCCGCGGUAAUACGGAGGGUGCGAGCGUUAAUCGGAAUUACUGGGCGUAAAGCGCGCGUAGGCGGUCUGAUAAGCCGGUUGUGAAAGCCCCGGGCUCAACCUGGGAACGGCAUCCGGAACUGUCAGGCUAGAGUGCAGGAGAGGAAGGUAGAAUUCCCGGGGUAGCGGUGAAAUGCGUAGAGAUCGGGAGGAAUACCAGUGGCGAAGGCGGCCUUCUGGACUGACACUGACGCUGAGGUGCGAAAGCGUGGGUAGCAAACAGGAUUAGAUACCCCGGUUC